Molecule: long non-coding RNA, 2570 nt
Filed under: Gallus gallus (chicken)
Lineage: Eukaryota; Metazoa; Chordata; Aves; Galliformes; Phasianidae
Source: RNAcentral
UCUACAUUUAAAAACAGGAGAUCAAAUCGGGUGUGCCUUUCAGAAAGAUACUCAAUUGGAACUGUCCUGAGUGAACACAGAAAUAUAUUUCGAGAAAGGAUUUCCUUGAUUAGUUUCCAUAGACUGAUAAACUGAAAACAAGAAGACUGAAACAAGAACAAAGAGAAGAAUUUUUAUCCACAGGGGAACGGAGCGUUCUUUUUUUGUUGAAGGUUUCUCAGACUUGAUGUCACUUGAGGUACUGUAUUUUGGAGCAUACUUAAAGAAACUUUCAUCCAUUUUGAAGUCAGUGUGCUCGAUAGGCCGGCUAGCAGCUCCUUUGAUUGGUCUACGGCAGCUAGCGCUGAUUCCUGUAGGUGUAGAGACUUCAUAAGGGAACAUUUCCUUAAGAAUAUCCCUUUCUACUUUUCGUUCUUCUGUAUGAGUUCUCUCCGGCACUUCAGCUGUCAUCAGUGGUUUCUUUGGUGUUCUUCUGGGCAUGUCUGAGGGUUCACUGAUUGACAAUGUAGGAGCUGCAUGCUUGAAAUUUCCAGGCACCCUAUUGCCAACCUGGUUGUGCUCAACGACUCUUCUUUGUUUGAGUGUUACUGGAGUCUUCAUCCUGCCUUUCAGAGGUUCUCUCUUCUCAAGCCUCAGCUCAGUCUUUGGCUCUUCUUCAUUGUCACUGUACUGGUCAGAAUCAUUAUUUCCAUUCUGUCUGGUGUUCUCAGUAGUUGAAGAAAUCACUGGGAGAGGCAUAGGUGUCUUCAGUUCUGGACCUUGUUCCAUCAGUUUCAACAGCUUUUUCUCAUAAAGUUUCCUUGUGGUAGCUACAAUUGGGCCAGGAUUUAUUCCAUACUUCAUAAGCUGCUCUUGAAGAUCUUCAUUACUGAGCUCUGUUACAUCUAAGUCAUCCUUUUCCUCUGCCCUGAGUUUGUCAGUUUUCUUUGUGGCUUUCCGUCCGACGGCGGCCCCGCGGCCCCGGGCGCCGAUGGGGGUGGGCUCCCGCUCCUCGUCGCUGGAGAAGUCGGGCUGCGCGACGGCGGGCGGGUUGCGGGCGGUGAGGUGCUGCAGGUAGAGCUGCACGUAGACGUCCUUGCGCUGCUCGCCGCCCGGCAGGCUCACAUUGUUGGCGAUCAGCUCGCUCUUCAGCUUCUCCUUCGUCAGGACCGAGGGGUCCGCCAAGAACUCGGGCAUCGCCGCCGCCCGCCGAGGCACCAACAAAGCGCGGGAGGAGGGGACGCGCUGCCCCGCGCCAGGCACCCAGCUCCACAGCGAGCGGGCGCGCACAGCGAGCGCUCCUCGCAGCCGCCAAUAAACCGCGCCCCGAUUGGCGGGGAGGGGGACGAAGCGGCUCUUCUAUUGGCUGUAGGACGGAAGAGAGGAGAGGCGCGCGGGCUCGGCCAGCGUUAGUGCUUUGCGCGGGGACCAGCAACGCAGUUUAAAUUCGGCUCGGGCGGGAGAGGCGCGGGGUGGUGCCGCCCUGAGGUGCUGGGCGCCGCCCUUCCGCCCUACGCCUCCCUCGUGGUGUGGUCGCCCCGCUGUCCUUCUCGGCGGUGGGGAAUUGAGAAGAGUACCCACAGGAGUUUUAGCGUUUCACAAGUUACCUCGCUGGGAAGGGAGGGCUGAGUUUGAGAUUUAACCCGAAUUAAAUGCUUGAGUUUACGUGCUGCCCGCUGGGAAUGCUCACCGCUGUAAAUUUGCCUGUAUUUUACGAUAAGAGCUGUUCAAAAUUUACAUCUGAUUAUGCACCUUGUGUGUUUGAAGUAUCGGAGAUGGAAAUAAUUGAGUGGCUAUGUAAAUUUAUCCAUCGAUCCCAGAUGUGAAACAGGGUCAUCAGUGUUUAUGCCCACUCCUUCUUAAGAGUUCCAGAAUCGCAGGGUGCCCCGAGCUGAAAGGAUCAUUGAGUCCAACUCCUGAAGGAGUUUCACGCUGUAGUGGGGGAGAUUUCCCUCCGUUUUGGUUCGCUCCGGUCCGCCCGGCCAUCGCCGCAGUGUCAGCUGUGGUACAGCAGUGCCGUUGCUUAGGGCUGCUGCUGUAGAGGGGAAUUUCAAGUGGUCUGUCCACACCAAGGCUGAUGCUUCCCACUGAUGAAUCGGUGCGGUGUAACAAAGCAGUUAAUGCAAGGGAGUAGCUGAGCUUGCAGAAUUUAGUUUACUUUGCAGCAAAACUGAUGAUAUGAGGUGGCUAUCACCUGCUGUUCGUUGUAACCUAUGUGUGAAAGUAUUUCGUUCUUGGUUUUAUACGGAGUAAGUAAUUCCAAAAGUGGUUUAUUUCCAUGGAGAUGACAACAGAUGCAGAGAGUACAAUAAGACUAUUUGAUAGAACAAAUUCUCAUCUAUGAAACCCUAUUUUUCAGCAUAGCCACCACCAUUAGCUAUGCCUUUCACCAACAGUGAACAGGAGGCUGCAUACCACACCUGUUCAAAAUCUUCACUAGCAGAGGUGAUCUGCUGUUCCCACUGCUAAAGUGCACCGCUCACUGCCUCACUGUGCUCACAUCCACUGUUUGGUCUCCAUAAACUCUCACCACGCAUCAGUGAAUGUCAGUAGAUUCCAUUUUUUUUCCACACUGAGGAAUUCAAUGUCAG